UCUAAUCGUAAUAAUUUUUAUUUUUUAAAAAAACUGCAAUUCUUUUCUUUUAAAAGAAACAUUAUGUGAUGUAAAACAUUCCAAUAAUAAAAUAGACUUGUUUGAAUUGAUUAAUGGCCAAUGUAAUGGUAAGCUUGCUUUAAUAAAUUAUUUGAAAUACUAUGAGGCAUUUAGUUGUAACAUUUAUUAUGCAGAAUCAUUCCAAUUUCUUUCAUAGUCAUUAUUUCAUUUUUAACCAGGAGGCCAACUUUCUACACUUUUUAGAAAAAAAUUUUCUAGUGGUAGUUAAGUUUACAUUUUAAUGUAUUAUUCUUAGCUUUGUAAAUUUGAUUUCAAAUUAUUUUCUUCGCCACUAAUAAUUCAUGUAAACAAUUCAAAAUUUUUAUUAGUCUAUCACUCUUAAAAAUAUUUUGCAAAAAGCAUGGUAGUUGGCAACCCGGUUUUUAACUAUCACAUUUUUCACAGUAAUAACUUUUUGCAGAAUAAAAUACUCAUUUUCAGCAACUUCAGUCAGUCAAUGUAUUUGUAAGCUUUGAUAAAUUAUUUUAAUUACUAUGUGGCAUUCAAAUUUAUCAGUUAUUUAUUAUACAUAUUCAUUCAUUAUUUUCAUAAUCAUUGUUUCACUUCCAACUACCAUUUGUUUUCGUUUACACAUUUUGUAUUGUUUGCACAUUUGUGAAAUAGAUAUUAAUGUGUUUUAUGUGUAAUGAUCUUAUUUGAUAGUAAUAUAUGUACAAAUGAAAAAAAUAGAUUAUUUUUCUAUUUGUAUACAAAUAGUGAAAAAUUUUUAUAUAACUGACGUUUAUAUUUGGAAGGAGUUUAAAUUUUGGUUGUAUGUUUUACAAAAUAAAUUAUUAUGAUAUAUA
Parasteatoda tepidariorum (common house spider) is the source of this 866-nucleotide non-coding RNA. NCBI's taxonomy places the organism in Eukaryota, Metazoa, Arthropoda, Arachnida, Araneae, Theridiidae. The record is from RefSeq and is a predicted model, not a curated record.